UGGGGAAUAUUGCACAAUGGGCGCAAGCCUGAUGCAGCCAUGCCGCGUGUGUGAAGAAGGCCUUCGGGUUGUAAAGCACUUUCAGCGGGGAGGAAGGCGGUGAGGUUAAUAACCUCAUCGAUUGACGUUACCCGCAGAAGAAGCACCGGCUAACUCCGUGCCAGCAGCCGCGGUAAUACGGAGGGUGCAAGCGUUAAUCGGAAUUACUGGGCGUAAAGCGCACGCAGGCGGUUUGUUAAGUCAGAUGUGAAAUCCCCGGGCUCAACCUGGGAACUGCAUCUGAUACUGGUCAGCUAGAGUCUUGUAGAGGGGGGUAGAAUUCCAUGUGUAGCGGUGAAAUGCGUAGAGAUGUGGAGGAAUACCGGUGGCGAAGGCGGCCCCCUGGACAAAGACUGACGCUCAGGUGCGAAAGCGUGGGGAGCAAACAGG
This 429-nucleotide ribosomal RNA is filed under the name Chloroflexota bacterium. RNAcentral's name for it is "Chloroflexi bacterium partial 16S ribosomal RNA". It matches the Rfam family "Bacterial small subunit ribosomal RNA", at positions 355 to 776 of the family's 1533-position model. The record is from RNAcentral. Lineage: Bacteria; Bacillati; Chloroflexota.